UAAUACGGAGGAUCCAAGCGUUAUCCGGAAUUAUUGGGUUUAAAAGGUCCGUAGGUGGACAAUUAAGUCAGAGGUGAAAUCCUGCAGCUCAACUGUAGAAUUGCCUUUGAAACUGGUUGUCUUGAGUCAUUAUGAAGUGGUUAGAAUGUGUAGUGUAGCGGUGAAAUGCAUAGAUAUUACACAGAAUACCAAUUGCGAAGGCAGAUCACUAAUAAUGUACUGACACUGAUGGACGAAAGCGUGGGUAGCGAACAGGAUUAGAUACCCUGGUAGUCCACGCCGUAAACGAUGGUCACUAGCUGUUCGGACUUCGGUCUGAGUGGCUAAGCGAAAGUGAUAAGUGACCCACCUGGGGAGUACGUUCGCAAGAAUG
This 373-nucleotide ribosomal RNA is filed under the name uncultured Bacteroidota bacterium. RNAcentral's name for it is "bacterial SSU rRNA". It matches the Rfam family "Bacterial small subunit ribosomal RNA", at positions 521 to 896 of the family's 1533-position model. The record is from RNAcentral. Lineage: Bacteria; Pseudomonadati; Bacteroidota.